GCCCUAGUAGCUUAACGGAUAAAGUAGCGGUCUUCUAAACCGUCGAUGCAGGUUCGAUUCCUGCCUAGGGUA
This 72-nucleotide transfer RNA is filed under the name bacterium. Its description in RNAcentral is "tRNA-Arg". It matches the Rfam family "tRNA". From Rfam's summary of the family: Transfer RNA (tRNA) molecules are approximately 80 nucleotides in length. Their secondary structure includes four short double-helical elements and three loops (D, anti-codon, and T loops). The record is from RNAcentral.